RNAcentral lists this ribosomal RNA (1083 nucleotides) under Triticum aestivum (bread wheat). Its description in RNAcentral is "partial small subunit ribosomal RNA". The record is from RNAcentral. Lineage: Eukaryota; Viridiplantae; Streptophyta; Magnoliopsida; Poales; Poaceae.
AUGGUGCCUGCAGCUGGUGGCGCUGGUGGCACGAAUAAUGUUAAUGGUGCUAAUGGUGGCGCUGGUGGCACGAACAAUGUUUCCGGUGCUGCUGCACCGCUGGCCGAUUCUUGCCGCAAGCCGCAGCAGCAGCUGCCAACGGUGAAACAUCAGUAUGCGGAACAAUACGAGUAUGCAUACCCAGCAGCACCGCCAUACAGCGGCCCUCCAAAGCCGCCGCCGGCGUAUCGCUAUUGCUAUGGGUAUGGUGGACGUGGUUCUGGUGGGUACGGCUACAGCUACGACUACCCCGAGCCCGAUGGUAUUUGGGAUGAACCUGAUGGUGCAUACGGCGGCGGCAGAUACCACCCACCACAGCCGCCGUAUUAUCAUGGCGGCGGUCGUGGUGGGUAUCCUUCUCCUCAGUUUGGUCGGGGAGUUGGUGCUGGUGGCUAUAGCUGCUACGGCGGUGGCGGUGGCGGCUAUCCUCCCAGUUCAUUUCCGUCUGUAGGAGGAGGAGGCGGCGGCUGUGAUGGUGGGGUCAGCAACGCUUACGGAGGGCCGCCGCAGGAGAAGCCGCGGAUGAGCGUCGGGUGGGUAGCCGCCGGGGGUGCUACCGCCUAUGGAGGGUACCAGCACCACAUGGGCGGUCGUGGUGGGUAUGGUGGAGCUGGUGCUGGUGGCUAUAGCUACCACGGCGGUGGCGGCGGCGGCGGCUGUGGUUAUCCUCCGACUGCAGGAGGAGGAGGCGGCGGCGGUCAUGGGGUCAGCAACCCCUAUGGAGGGCCGCCGCAGCAGAAGCCGCACAUGAGCGCGGGGUGGCUAGCCGCCGGAGCUGCUACCGCCUACCACGGAGGAGGAGGGCAUGGGUACAGGCAUGGGCACGGAGGAUACGACGACGGCUGUACUUGUUGCGGCGACGGUUACGGUUAUGGCUGCCGUGGUUGUGCCCCCCAUAUGCAUAUGCGAGGCGAGUUCGAGCACCAAGAGCACACCAAUAUCAAAUACACUGUUCAUCCCGACGGUAAGUGCAAUGACGCUGCCAGCGGCCCGCCCGUUACAGUGUUGGACAAAUGUGCCAGCCAACCAACAAGCGGGGUUUAA